GCUCUGCAUUAUUUCAAGUGCCACUAAGGAAUUGCUGUCAGUCACUCAGAUUUCUUUUUUCUUUUUCCCUCAUGUACAGAGCUGCUCUAGAAUAUAUGUUUUUCAUCAGAUAAUACUGAUCUGCAAGAGAGGUGGUGUCCCUGGGCCAAGAGACCAAACUUUCAAGGCCAAGUCUUUGAAAUCAGGUGUGUGUUCUACAGGAGCACAUCCCAGUUGGGAAUAGCCCCCUCUCAAUUGCCACAUGUGGACAACUCAAGUCUGGAUACACCAAGUGCUGGGGCCAUCUGCCUCUGAAGAAGGGCUGACGCACAGAGCUUCUUCAGCUUCCUCAAGUUGUACAAAGCCCACAAUGGCUGCCACACUCCAGGGUCUACCUGGGCUUCCAACUUUAGCACCCAUCACC
Molecule: long non-coding RNA, 403 nt
Organism: Camelus dromedarius (Arabian camel)
Lineage: Eukaryota; Metazoa; Chordata; Mammalia; Artiodactyla; Camelidae
Exons: 3
Source: RefSeq, a predicted model, not a curated record